GCCAGCAACUAUAUCACCCUGCAACUCACAACUGGUAACCCACUUAAGCUAAACAGGUGUGAGCCUGGUCAGUACCUGGAUGAGAAAUCUCCUGGGAACAUUUAGCUUGCUGCUGGAA
This 118-nucleotide ribosomal RNA is filed under the name Lepisosteus oculatus (spotted gar). Lineage: Eukaryota; Metazoa; Chordata; Actinopteri; Semionotiformes; Lepisosteidae. The record is from RNAcentral.